UGGAACUCAAAGAGAUCCACCUGCCUUUGC
RNAcentral lists this non-coding RNA (30 nucleotides) under Rattus norvegicus (Norway rat). Lineage: Eukaryota; Metazoa; Chordata; Mammalia; Rodentia; Muridae. The record is from RNAcentral.